GAGGGUUUCGGCGCCGAUAAUGAUCGGGAAUAAGCAAUGUACCGAAGCUGCGGGCUGCGUAAGCAGCGGUAGGAGAGCGUUCCUGUCAGCAGAGAAGGCGUCCCGAAAGGGUCGCUGGAGCGUCAGGAAGUGAAUAUGCCGGGUUGAGUAACGAUAAAGCAGGUGAAAAUCCUGCUCGCCGAAAAUCUAAGGUUUCCUGGGGAAGGUAAAUCCGCCCAGG
This 220-nucleotide ribosomal RNA is filed under the name Pseudo-nitzschia fraudulenta. RNAcentral describes it as "partial Bacterial large subunit ribosomal RNA". It matches the Rfam family "Bacterial large subunit ribosomal RNA", at positions 1151 to 1378 of the family's 2925-position model. The record is from RNAcentral. Lineage: Eukaryota; Bacillariophyta; Bacillariophyceae; Bacillariales; Bacillariaceae.